UACAAGUGGUGUGACAGGAUCUUGUAUCAGAUUAUCUCCAUGUAAAAUAUGUUGAUAUACCGAUAUGAUGCGUGUAUUACAAGAUAUCUAAAACAUUUACAGGUGAUAAGAACAUAAUAAUACACAGGUUAAGGAGGUAGAGUUGGCAAGCCUCAAUAUGGAUAACAAGCCUCGAUGUCGUUUGGUAGAACGUGCCUGUCCUGCUAAUGUCUUCUGAGAGAAUAUCAUUUCAACUGCCCUGUCCAAUUUAAACCAAUUAACACCGGUUGAAGAUGCCUGGAUAAUCCUGACAUAAGAGGCAGG
Molecule: long non-coding RNA, 303 nt
Organism: Patella vulgata (common limpet)
Lineage: Eukaryota; Metazoa; Mollusca; Gastropoda; Patellidae
Exons: 3
Source: RefSeq, a predicted model, not a curated record